GACCAGACUCCUACGGGAGGCAGCAGUGGGGAAUAUUGCACAAUGGGGGAAACCCUGAUGCAGCAACGCCGCGUGAAGGAAGACGGUUUUCGGAUUGUAAACUUCUGUUCUUAGUGAAGAAGAAUGACGGUAGCUAAGGAGCAAGCCACGGCUAACUACGUGCCAGCAGCCGCGGUAAUACGUAGGGGGCGAGCGUUAUCCGGAUUUACUGGGUGUAAAGGGAGCGUAGACGGUUCUGCAAGUCUGAAGUGAAAGCCCGUGGCUUAACCGCGGAACGGCUUUGGAAACUGUGGAACUGGAGUGCUGGAGAGGCAAGCGGAAUUCCUAGUGUAGCGGUGAAAUGCGUAGAUAUUAGGAGGAACACCAGUGGCGAAGGCGGCUUGCUGGACAGUAACUGACGUUGAGGCUCGAAAGCGUGGGGAGCAAACAGGAUUAGAUACCCUUGUA
This 447-nucleotide ribosomal RNA is filed under the name uncultured bacterium. Its description in RNAcentral is "bacterial SSU rRNA". It matches the Rfam family "Bacterial small subunit ribosomal RNA", at positions 329 to 792 of the family's 1533-position model. The record is from RNAcentral.